UGUCCAUGACCUGGGUAGAGAGGCUUCUGGUUGGUGGUACCCAUUUCAUAUCAGCCAGGGACAAAGUAACCCCUUGUUUGUCCAACAAGUUUGGCUUUUGGUCUGUGCCCAUGCCUGGUUCAUGCCUUGGACAUAUGG
Molecule: small nucleolar RNA, 138 nt
Filed under: Propithecus coquereli (Coquerel's sifaka)
Lineage: Eukaryota; Metazoa; Chordata; Mammalia; Primates; Indriidae
Description: Small nucleolar RNA SNORA48 (ENSPCOG00000012500.1)
Rfam family: Small nucleolar RNA SNORA48
About the family: The snoRNA ACA 48 has been identified to guide pseudouridylation of the residue U3797 in the 28S rRNA subunit.
Source: Rfam by way of RNAcentral